Molecule: long non-coding RNA, 6083 nt
Filed under: Mytilus galloprovincialis (Mediterranean mussel)
Lineage: Eukaryota; Metazoa; Mollusca; Bivalvia; Mytilida; Mytilidae
Source: RNAcentral
GACGAUAAAUAUCUUGUGACUUUAUCGUUUGUUUACCUUCCUGGUUGAAAUAUUUUAUCAAGUUAAAGACAUUUGUGUAACUCCUUCAAAUUCAGGUAAAAUUAUUGCUGUUUUAUUGCAUUUCAAUGACAAAAAGAAAGGAAUUGUGUUAAAUACCAUCUGAGCUCCAGUACGUAUAGUUAACAUUGAUAGUUAAGGUUCAUCAUAACAAAUGGACAAAUAUGGCCGUAUUUUCACCUUAAAAACUACUCUGUGUACAGUAUUACCUGUGCUGUUUGGAAAGUUUUAAUGCCUAGCAUCAACUAGAUAUAUAAAAGUUAAAUUCAUUUUGUGUUAAAGAAAGAUAAAAUCUUUUUUGGUUUUUGCUGGGCAUUGUUUUUCCUUUCUGCAGAAGGUGUAAAAAUAAACAAACACCUGAAUUACUUUGAUACUGUUCACUCGCUGACUCAGAUGAACUCUUUAACUCACCUGUAGUUGUGAAGAUACCUCUUGUCCAUGUCAAUUAAGGACAAACAAAACAAUACAAACCGGUUUUUUUACCUGAGGGAGCAUCUCAUAGUUGUUCCACAACUUAGUUAAUUUUCAGACCAUUUGCAUGAAGGAAAAAAAAAUGCCCAGCAAAAUCCAAAAGAGAUUUUAUCUUUCUAAAACACAAAAUGCAUUUAACUUUAUUAUAUCUAGUGGAUGCCAGGCAUUAAAAGUUUUCCAACUUCACAGGUAAGUCUGUACUCAGAAUAAUUUUUGGCAUGUAAAUACAGCCAUAUUUGUCCGUUUGUUAUGAUGAACCUUAAGGUUCAUGUGGACCCUAUGGCUAAAAUGGCCGUAUUUUCACCUCAAAAUUUAAUCUGAGUACAGGGAAACCUGUGCAUUUUGAUAAGUUUUAAGGCAUAGCAUGCCCUAGAUAAAUAGAAUUCAAAUGCAUUGUAUGAUUUAGAAAAUUCAUAAUUUAACUGAAUUUUACCAUACACUUUUUUCGUCUCUGCAGAAGAUGAUAAAAUUAACAAACAGUUGAGUUUACCUUGAUAUGGUCCACUCAGGUACACAGUUUAAAUAACCAAUUGUUGUCAGGUAUCUAUUGUCCAUCUCAUGUCCAUGUCAAACAAAACAGCUCACUUCAAUAAUUACCUGUGGGGAAGCUCAAACCUGUUUCCCAACUUAGUUUAUUUUGGCACCUUCUAGAGGAAUAAAAAAAGUGCACGGCAAAAUCCUGGUAAGUUUUUAUUUUUCUAAAACACAAAACUUAUUUGAAAUUUAUUUAUCUAGGGCAUGCUAUGCCUGAAAUUUUUUUACAGAUGCACAGGUUUGUCUGUACUCAGAGUAAAUUUUGAGGUGAAAAUACGGCCAUUUUAGCCAUAGGGUCCACAUGAACCUUAACAUGUUUUGACAAGCAAUUUUGUGACACAGAAUGCAAUUGAUGGUCUCUAAAACACAUUUUUUUCUCCGUGUACACUAUCAAAAAAAAAUUUUGUCCUGUAUACAAUGUUUCCCCAUCACGUUUAAUGAUACGCUAAGUAUGGUUUAAUAAAUUCUUAUAAAUUGCGUCAACUGGCCAUAGCUAGUCUACAUAAUGAAUAGUAAUAUCAAUUUUGAUAAUCUUCAUACUAUUCGUUCGAGGGUUAUCGAACUUUAACCGUCAAAACCUAGGAAUUGUUCAUACGUUUUAUCUAUAAAUAUAAUUUCAGCAAUUUCCUAAUUUUUUUCUUAAAAGUCAAUGCUGAUUAUCAAAGUAUGCCCUAAUUUCCGUAAAGACGAUUUUCGUAUUGCAUGUACAUAAGUAAUAACAAAUUAACAUAAAAAAACAAGUUUCGUUCAUAUCACUUUCAACCCUAGUUUUUGAUGUGGUUCGUGUUGUUUAUUCUUUAGUUUUCUAUGUUGUGUCGUGUGUACAAUUGUUUGUCUGUUUGUCUUUUUCAUUUUUGGCCAUGGCGUUGUCAGUUUAUUUUCGGUUUAUGAGUUUGACUGCCCCUUUGGUACCUUUCCUCCCUUUUUUUUUAAUAUCUUUAGAAUACAUUGUGGACCAUUUUUUUUUUUUUUUUUUUUUAAUUUCUAGUUUAAUCUGCAUCCAGUGUUCACUCCCAAUGAUCAGUUAAAGUGCAUAUUAAUAUAAUUGCUCCUUUUGCUUUCAGCAAUGAAUCUGUUUCUCUUGUUGCAUAGCUGUGAUGUUUUCCCACACCUGGCACAUAUCUCUUAAAAAUAUAUACCUUCAUUCUUUUAUAUAUUUAAGUAUAAACUGGUUUAAUUCAGAAACGAGUGUGUAUUGUAAUGGGAAGUUUGUUCAUUAAAACAUUCGAUCUGGAAACUAAAAACAGUUGGAAUGUCAAAUCAGCCAAUCUGAAACGCAAAUGAAUGACAAUUAUCUGUUAUACAUAAGAGAAAUGGAACACUGUAUAUAUUAAUUUCAUAUUUGCAUAUGGAGAUGAAUUUACUUUUUGCGAACUCCUCGGGUUUUCAUGUUAAGAAAGAUACUUGAAAAGUAUCUAUAAUGAUAGUAACGUUAAAAAAAAGCAUGUAAGGCUUGUAAAAACAAUUUCCACACCCUCUGUAAUUUUUCAUAUUUAUAUGCUUCCACAGAAUAUGACUUCUUAGGAAAUAUCCUUUAAUUAGAAAUGUUGCAUUUAAUAAUACUAGAUUAUAGACACGUUUUGUAUGAUAAAGUAAUUUUUUUACAAAUUUUGGAACACUACCAGUUUUCUAGUUAUAAAUUAUUUGAUACUUUAAUACGACUUGGGAAAUAUGGUUCAUGGAUGAGUAUCGCCCUGUUCAUAGCUAAAUGGGAAACAUUGUUCUGUUUGUACUUUGGCUUUACUAGCAAAAUGUCUUAUAAAACAUCAUUUAAAUAUUGCUACAUGUAGAAGAACAAACUUUGGAGAUUUCAUAUUGAUUAUUGUAUUACAGUUUAAUUAAAUUCGUUUGUACAAUGAUAACAAAUAUUAAUCGUUUACAGAUGAUUAAUCGUUUACAUAGAAGCAAAUAUAAGCAUAUUAUCAUAAGAAACGAAAAACAUUUAUUUUUAUUAAAAGUACUCGUGCUUCUAAAUAAAGGCAAUAGUAGUAUACCGGUGUUCGAAAGUCCUAAAUCGAUUGAAAGAAUACAAAUCUUGGUUACAACCCAAAACCACAGGAACACAUCAACUAUAAGAGGGAAACAAAGGAACAGCAGGAACACUGAUGUGCAACAAAAACAAACGCAAACAUACAUAAAAACAAACUAUUUGAUAACAACUGCCUUAUUCGUGACUUGGUAUAGAACAUUUUAAGAAACAAUGGUGGGUUGAUCUGGUCACAUGGCUAGCUAAAUCUUCCACCUUAUGAUAAAAUCAAAAUCGAAUGAAUAUGAAAUGCUCAUGAUACUAACACUGUGUCCUAUGUAAUUUGAUCACUAGUUAAAUAAAGGCAUACAGAUGUUUUAUGUUGGAAUACCCUUCUUUUCGUUAGAUAUACAUACUGUUAUGUUUUAAAAAUUCUAACGGGAAAUAUAUUUGAUAUUUGAUGUUUUUACGUAAAGAGAGUUAAAAUUGAGAAUUGAAAUGGAGAAUGUAUCAAAGAGACAACAACCCAACCAUAGAAACAACAACAGCAGAAGGUCACCAACAGGUCUUCAAUGUUCGGCACAAAGGCUUCCAAAUUUGUUUAUUAAGACAGAUAUUUCAACAUAAGUGCUGAAAUAUUAAGUUAUUUACGAAAACUAGUUGUAAUAAAGAUUUUACUUUAUGUUGCUAUCCUCAUUCUAUAAUAAAACUAUAUAUAAGCAAUCCAAUAAAUGGACAACACAUACUUGAAAAGGCAAAAAACAACAACCACGCAGUUACAGGAUCCUUACAUGGGGCCGACAUGAUUAGAAUGUGGCGGGGUAAACAUUAGAGACACUGAAUAUAGAAAUUAGAAUACUCGCAGAUAUUAUGCUAUAAUAAAAUGUACAAGGCUAAAAAGUAAUGACUGUAAAUCUUUUGUAUCUUUUUAAAUGAUUUACAAAUGUAGUCAAGAUAAAAAAAAUCUGAAUUUUUGAAACAUUUUUAAUGGUCAAUAUAUACUUUUGCUUGUAGAUGAUGGCAAGCUCUGUACCUUCAUGUGGUGUAUGUGAAUUUCAAAAUGUCUUUAAAACUGCAUCCAUAUGGUGUUCUGAUUGUGAUGAGGGCCUUUGUAUAGACUGCAGUAAGCAUCAUGGAAUUUCCAAAGCAACAAGAAAGCAUGUAACUAUACCGAUAUCAGAAUAUAAUGCAUUGCCUACUUACAUUACAAACAUUAAGCAGACAUGUAGUACACAUAAUGAAAAUUAUCAGAUUUACUGCAAUGAACAUGAAUGUGCGUGUUGUAGUAAGUGCAUCGUUGAAAAGCAUACAAAAUGUCAAACUAUUUCCAAUCUUGAUGAUGUUGUAAAAAACACAAAGGCUUCAAACGCUUUUUUUGAAAUUUGUGAAACAUUAAAUGAAGUUGCUGAGAAUAUAAAAAGGAUCCGUCAAGAUAAAAAUGUUAAUCUGAAAACAUUGUCCGAAAAAAGAAAACAGAUUAAAUGUGAAAUUCAACAGGUUCGGUUAAAUAUCAAUCAACAUCUCGAUAAACUGCAAGAGGACUUCAUAUCGGAAUUGCAUGAGACAGAAAGAAGAGAAAAAACAAAAAUCCAUCAGUUAAUGAAAGCUUUAGAUGAGCAUGAAAGUAAAGUUGCAGAACACCAAGAGAACAUAGCAAACAUAAAACAACACGCAUCAGAUCUACAGGCCUUCCUAUCUCUGAAGCAGCUUGGAGGUGAUGUUGAUGAAAACUGUCAGUUUAUUGAUUCACUUACUGAAAGUAAUGUUCUUAAUCGUGUGGAGAUCAAGUUUAACAUUAAUACAUCACUUACUGACAUUGCAAAUAGUGUUCUUGAGUUUGGAAAAGUAUUUAUUGACAUCUCUAAUAGCUCAGUGAACAUUGUGAAGAAAAAACAACAAGAAGCUCAGUUGAUAGUACCUAAAGUAUCAUCAAUUGUGCCAAUUGAGAAUAUACAAGUCAAGUUAGAACAGACUAUAAAAACCGAAUCAUCUUAUAUUAGAGGAUGUUGCAUGUUGCCUGAUAGUAGAUUUGUAUUCACCUAUCCUGAUUUAGACAAAGUUACUGUAGUUAAACAAGACGGGACGGUUGACUUUGUUCUGAAUGUAAAAGCAGCAAAUGGUAUAGCGUACAACGAUAAAGAUAACACUAUAGCGAUAUCAUCCUUUUGGAGUCGCAUUGGCAACAAAAUAACAAUAAUCGAUUUAUUUACACGAAAAGUAAAGAAAACUUUUUCAACGGGGGGACAAACCCAAGGAAUAGCAGUUACCAAUACAACACUUCUGUAUCACCUAUUCAGCAAGGCAAUUCGAGCCAUGGAUCUGACUGACGAAUCAAUACGUGAUAUAACUACUGAGAACAUGGACACAUUAAUCAACAUAACAAUAUCUGGACACAAACUUUAUUAUUCCAGUUAUAAGUAUCAUACAGUAGUUUGCUGCGAUCUGCAAGGUACAACACAAUGGACAUUCAAAAAUGAAAAGGUUUUGAGUCAUCCAUUUGGAAUAUCAGCUGACAAUGCUGGUAAUGUGUAUGUUGUAGGAUGUGAAUCAAAGAAUGUCGUGGUUAUCUCCCCUGAUGGACAAACACAUAGAGAACUCUUAACUAAAAGAGAUGGUUUAGAUUCCCCAUGUUCAAUUAACUUUAGAAAGGAAACUAAUCAGUUAUUAGUUGCAAAUAAUUCUGAGAAAACGUAUUUGUAUAACGUAUCUAGUAAUUAAAUCACUUCAAUAUUUUAUCUUAAUGCAGUAUUGAAUGAAAUGGAGAAUAAAAGAUACAUAUAUACAAAAACCACAUAGUUACAUGGAACACAAUUGCUAGUAAAAUGUACUUCAUAAAACAGCCCGGAUAUUUCCUGAUAUUCAGCAUUGAAACCAGGAAAUUGAUUGUUUAUACAAGAAUUUAAAUGAUUAGGUUAAGUGCUUCUCUCACAGUUGGUGUCAACUGAUGUUAUAAAAAAAAACACAGAUGGUCAUUUGGUCAAGAUUAUUUAACUUACAGUUUCUACACUAAAUACAUUAUAUUUUCUGAUCUGCAAAAUAUUUGCAAAGACGAUGU